This 474-nucleotide ribosomal RNA is filed under the name Munidopsis sp. NA-2011. Its description in RNAcentral is "partial 16S ribosomal RNA". It matches the Rfam family "Bacterial large subunit ribosomal RNA", at positions 1858 to 2585 of the family's 2925-position model. Lineage: Eukaryota; Metazoa; Arthropoda; Malacostraca; Decapoda; Munidopsidae. The record is from RNAcentral.
CCUGCCCAAUGAAUAAAUUUAAAAGGCCGCGGUAUUUUGACUGUGCAAAGGUAGCAUAAUAAUUAGUUUUUUAAUUGGAAACUUGAAUGAAUGGUUGGACAAAGAAAAAGCUGUCUUUAAUAUUUUUUUUGAAUUUUACAUUUAAGUGAAAAGGCUUAAAUACAUUUAAAGGACGAUAAGACCCUAUAAAUCUUUACAUUUUUAUACACUUAUAUAAUUUAGAUAAAAAUAAUUAAGAUGUUAAAUGAGAUGUUUUAUUGGGGUGAUAAAGAUACAAUUAUAAACUGUCUUAAUAAUAAAACAAAUGUGUUUGGUGAAAAAAAGAUCCUUUAUAAAGAUUAAAAGUUAAAGAUACUUUAGGGAUAACAGCGUAAUUUUUUUUGAGAGUUCUUAUCGAAAAAAAAGUUUGCGACCUCGAUGUUGAAUUAAAAAUUUCCUUAUGGUGCAGAAGUUAUAAAGGAGAGUCUGUUCGAC